CUGAAGAUGGCGACCGGCGCACGGGUGAGUAACACGUAUCCAACCUACCGAUAACUCCGGAAUAGCCUUUCGAAAGAAAGAUUAAUACCGGAUGGCAUACGAAUAUCGCAUGAUAUUUUUAUUAAAGAAUUUCGGUUAUCGAUGGGGAUGCGUUCCAUUAGUUUGUUGGCGGGGUAACGGCCCACCAAGACUACGAUGGGUAGGGGUUCUGAGAGGAAGGUCCCCCACAUUGGAACUGAGACACGGUCCAAACUCCUACGGGAGGCAGCAUG
RNAcentral lists this ribosomal RNA (272 nucleotides) under uncultured bacterium. RNAcentral describes it as "partial 16S ribosomal RNA". It matches the Rfam family "Bacterial small subunit ribosomal RNA", at positions 82 to 353 of the family's 1533-position model. The record is from RNAcentral.